GGGUGAGUAACACGUGGGAACGUACCCUUUGGUUCGGAACAACCCUGGGAAACUAGGGCUAAUACCGGAUACGCGCGAGAGCGGAAAGGUUUACCGCCGAAGGAUCGGCCCGCGUCUGAUUAGCUAGUUGGUGAGGUAACGGCUCACCAAGGCGACGAUCAGUAGCUGGUCUGAGAGGAUGAUCAGCCACAUUGGGACUGAGACACGGCCCAAACUCCUACGGGAGGCAGCAGUGGGGAAUAUUGGACAAUGGGCGCAAGCCUGAUCCAGCCAUGCCGCGUGAGUGAUGACGGCCCUAGGGUUGUAAAGCUCUUUUACCUGGGAAGAUAAUGACGGUACCAGGAGAAUAAGCCCCGGCUAACUUCGUGCCAGCAGCCGCGGUAAU
Molecule: ribosomal RNA, 385 nt
Filed under: uncultured bacterium
Lineage: Bacteria
Description: bacterial SSU rRNA
Rfam family: Bacterial small subunit ribosomal RNA
Source: RNAcentral